RNAcentral lists this ribosomal RNA (486 nucleotides) under uncultured bacterium. RNAcentral describes it as "bacterial SSU rRNA". It matches the Rfam family "Bacterial small subunit ribosomal RNA", at positions 28 to 497 of the family's 1533-position model. The record is from RNAcentral.
GAUGAACGCUAGCGGCAGGCUUAAUACAUGCAAGUCGAGGGGCAUCAAGGUACACGAAAGUGUAUUGUUGGCGACCGGCGGACGGGUGAGUAAUAGGUAGGUAACCUACCUCAUACUGAGGCAUAGCUGGGAGAAAUUCCAGGUAAUUCCUCAUGAGGUUAUAUGACACAUGUGAUAUAAUCAAAGGUAUCGCAAGGUACUGGUAUGAGAUGGGCUUACUGACCAUUAGCUAGUUGGUGAGAUAAGAGCUCACCAAGGCGAAGAUGGUUAGGGGUUUUGAGAGAGAGAUCCCCCACAUUGGAACUGAGAUACGGUCCAGACUCCUACGGGAGGCAGCAGUAGGGAAUAUUGGGCAAUGGGCGGAAGCCUGACCCAGCCAUGCCGCGUGAAGGAAGACGGCCUUAUGGUUGUAAACUUCUUUACUAUGCGACUAACUAGAUUUACGAGAUAAUUCUAUAGAAUGUAGCAUAGACAAAAAGCACCGGA